Long non-coding RNA from Schistocerca cancellata (South American locust), 1738 nucleotides. RefSeq lists it as uncharacterized. The record is from RefSeq and is a predicted model, not a curated record. Lineage: Eukaryota; Metazoa; Arthropoda; Insecta; Orthoptera; Acrididae. The transcript is spliced from 3 exons.
UUCACCUCAGGAAACAUGUGUUAGUCAGUUGCAACAGUUUUGGCAUAUAAUAGCGUAUAAAGUGAUGAGCAAAAACCUGCUUAAUAGCUUGUUGCUUCACAUUUGGAACGCAAUACAGCAGCAAUUCUGUGUGGCAUGGAUUCGUCAAGUCUUUGGUGCGGAGUUGGCGCCCGACAGCGUCCCAGGAAGGCUCCACUGGGUUCGGAUCAGGAGAAUUUGGUGGCCAAAACAUCAACACGCAUAGUCUGACAGCUUUAGACCUGAGCUGUCACAGUGUGCCAAAUUUCAUGCUUAUAGCAAGUGCAGGCCGUGCGCAGGGCAAGGCCCGGCCUGUCACUCAGUUUUGCUCAGUCCAUCUUGGAAAUACCCUGUACAGUGCGACAUUUCCUUCAGCAUUGCAGUGUGGCAUUUUGCAGUUGGCACAACUCUCCGAGUCUGGCAGAAUCGUGGUGUCUGCGCUGUUUACCUUUUGCUAUUUGCUCGUGGUGUGAAGGACAUUCACAGGUCCAGUGGCUGUUCACACAAAAAGAGGCAGUACGAUCCAUUAAAAUAAAUGAGAAUGACACAAGAGAGGGAUGAAAAUUCUCAAUUUGCAUAACCGAAGGGUACUGCUUAUUUGCUAUGAAACGACAUUAUGGUUCCAUGUAGAAAGAAUUUAAACUUUUAGGUGACAAUGAAAGAGCAAAAAAUUACAACGAUCAACAGACAGGAUUCAUUGUUCCAUACAUCAAGAAGUACUUUGUCCUAAAUCAGCAGGCAAGCAGCAACUGAAAAAACUAGUGGUACAAAUGGCAAAAUUUUUGAAGUCACAACCAUUAUUCCAUUUUCAAAUGCAACAGUUUCCAGUGGAAAUGAACAAAGAAUAUGGAUGAUGAUGAUGUUUGGUUUGUGGGGCGCUCAACUGCGCAGUUAUCAGUGCCCGUACAUUUUCCCAACCUUUGCUCGGCCCAAUCUCGCCACUUUCAUGAAUGAUGAUGAAAUGAUGAGGACAACACAAACACCCAGUCAUCUCGAGGCGGGUGAAAAUCCCUGACCCCGCAAGGAAUCGAACCCGGGACCCUGUGCUGAGGGAAGAAUAUGGAGACUUCAUAUAUUACUGCAAAGUGAGUUGGUUAAGCCAAGGGGAUUGCUUAGAACAAUUUUUCAAUUUAAAUCUUGCUGUUUUUGAAUUUAUGAAGGGAAAAGGAGUGUAGGGACAAACAUUAGAACAUCAGGAUUGGAUUGCAGACUUCCAAUUUUAAGUGGACUUGACUGCACACUGCCCGCAGUAAGACAUUGCAAGGUAAUCUCUUUCUGAUUUGAUGGGAAUGCCUUUAAAAAAAAAAUCCCAUUGUAAAAGGGACACAUUUUGGCAAAGACAAUCCAGUUCCCUAAGCUCACUGCCAUUAAGAAAGUGCGAGGUUUCUAGAAUUCACUGUGGUCUUGCAAGAAUUAUGAUACUUUUAUAAAGGCUUCGAGGACAUUGUCAAUCUUCAUCUAUUUUCAAGCUCUUUUCGAGACUGUUUGCUAUUUCAGUUGAAAGCGUCCCUGUGCAUUUGCAAAUGUAACUGACUGACAUGCAAAAUAAUUCUACUUUUAAUUAGAAAUCUUUUUACAUUAAAAUUGUCCAGGACAUCUACAUUGCUUUCUCAGGCAGAUCUUUCUAGUUUCCAUAAUGAGGCUGCAAAAGACCUACAAUAUUUCAACUGACAUAUUUGUGUGAAAGAUUGUUUUCAAUUAUGAAACUAAAUAGGUCAUG